Molecule: long non-coding RNA, 248 nt
Organism: Pantherophis guttatus
Lineage: Eukaryota; Metazoa; Chordata; Lepidosauria; Squamata; Colubridae
Source: RefSeq, a predicted model, not a curated record
UGUCAUGCGCUCCAACUACAGUCAUUUUCCUAAUGAUGUGGGUACUAAAAACACCUCCGCUGGAUUCAUAAUACCAUAAUUUGGCUUUUAGAUGAGAGGCUGGUGUGAAUUCAGCCAGUCUAUUCUCUGAACUGUAGCUCAGCAUUGUAGUGAACCACAAUAAGGUGCAUUCUAGAAGGCCUAAAAUCAUCUCCGGUGAGAAACGUGACAUACAAGUUCAAUAAAUAAAUAAAUGAAAUAUUAGCCCA